GUUGUGGGGCUGGGCGCUGGGGGCCAAGCUGUACCAAGGAGUGCCCAGGUUGCCUACAUGGAGGUGUCUGCCACGACCAUGACGGCGAAUGUGUAUGCCCCCCUGGCUUCACUGGCACCCGCUGUGAACAGGCCUGCAGAGAGGGCCGUUUUGGGCAGAGCUGCCAGGAGCAGUGCCCAGGCAUAUCAGGCUGCCGGGGCCUCAUGUUCUGCCUCCCAGACCCCUAUGGCUGCUCUUGUGGAUCUGGCUGGAGAGGAAGCCAGUGCCAGGAAGACCGGAUCCCCCAGAUCCUCAACAUGGCCUCAGAACUGGAGUUCAACUUAGAGACGAUGC
RNAcentral lists this small RNA (333 nucleotides) under Pongo abelii (Sumatran orangutan). RNAcentral describes it as "processed transcript". The record is from RNAcentral. Lineage: Eukaryota; Metazoa; Chordata; Mammalia; Primates; Hominidae.